GCUCAAGCUUGGUUCGUUAAAAUUUUUUCGAACUCGAGCCGAAUUCGAGCUUUACUCAUAUCGAACUCGAGCCGAGUAUUAAGAAGCUUAAGCUUGGCUCGUUUAGCAAACGAGCUUAGACGAGUCGAGUUUUUAUCGAGCUGAGUCGAGCUUUUAUCGAGCUGAGUCUCGAAUAGUUCACGAGUAAUUUAAUUUAUUUACAUGUAUAAUGAG
RNAcentral lists this long non-coding RNA (213 nucleotides) under Manihot esculenta (cassava). RNAcentral describes it as "long non-coding RNA (MESC_LNC008529)". The record is from RNAcentral. Lineage: Eukaryota; Viridiplantae; Streptophyta; Magnoliopsida; Malpighiales; Euphorbiaceae.